Molecule: ribosomal RNA, 119 nt
Organism: Betta splendens (Siamese fighting fish)
Lineage: Eukaryota; Metazoa; Chordata; Actinopteri; Anabantiformes; Osphronemidae
Source: Ensembl
GCUUACGGCCAUACCACCCUGAGCACGCCCGAUCUCGUCUGAUCUCGGAAGCUAAGCAGGGUCGUUCCUGGUUAGUACUUGGAUGGGAGACCGCCUGGCAAUACCAGGUGCUGUAAGCU